This 654-nucleotide ribosomal RNA is filed under the name uncultured Lachnospiraceae bacterium. RNAcentral's name for it is "bacterial SSU rRNA". It matches the Rfam family "Bacterial small subunit ribosomal RNA", at positions 47 to 721 of the family's 1533-position model. The record is from RNAcentral. Lineage: Bacteria; Bacillati; Bacillota; Clostridia; Lachnospirales; Lachnospiraceae.
CGAAGCACUUGCCAUUGACUCUUCGGAAGAUCUGGCAAAUGACUGAGCGGCGGACGGGUGAGUAACGCGUGGGUAACCUGCCUCAUACAGGGGAAUAACAGUUAGAAAUGGCUGCUAAUGCCGCAUAAGCGCACAGGGCCGCAUGGUCUGGUGUGAAAAACUCCGGUGGUAUGAGAUGGACCCGCGUCUGAUUAGGUAGUUGGCGGGGUAACGGCCCACCAAGCCGACGAUCAGUAGCCGACCUGAGAGGGUGACCGGCCACAUUGGGACUGAGACACGGCCCAGACUCCUACGGGAGGCAGCAGUGGGGAAUAUUGCACAAUGGAGGAAACUCUGAUGCAGCGACGCCGCGUGAAGGAAGAAGUAUCUCGGUAUGUAAACUUCUAUCAGCAGGGAAGAAAAUGACGGUACCUGACUAAGAAGCCCCGGCUAACUACGUGCCAGCAGCCGCGGUAAUACGUAGGGGGCAAGCGUUAUCCGGAUUUACUGGGUGUAAAGGGAGCGUAGACGGACGGGCAAGUCUGAUGUGAAAGCCCGGGGCUUAACCCCGGGACUGCAUUGGAAACUGUCCAUCUUGAGUGCCGGAGAGGUAAGCGGAAUUCCUAGUGUAGCGGUGAAAUGCGUAGAUAUUAGGAGGAACACCAGUGGCGAAGG